RNAcentral lists this ribosomal RNA (200 nucleotides) under uncultured bacterium. Its description in RNAcentral is "partial 16S ribosomal RNA". It matches the Rfam family "Bacterial small subunit ribosomal RNA", at positions 8 to 208 of the family's 1533-position model. The record is from RNAcentral.
AGAGUUUGAUCCUGGCUCAGGACGAACGCUGGCGGCGUGCUUAACACAUGCAAGUCGAGCGAAGAUAAUAGCAAUGUUAUCUUAGCGGCGGACGGGUGAGUAACGCGUGGGCAACCUGCCUUAUACAGGGGGAUAACACAGGGAAACUUGUGCUAAUACCGCAUAACGUCACGAGAAGACAUCUAUUUGUGACCAAAGGA